Non-coding RNA from Penaeus vannamei (Pacific white shrimp), 81 nucleotides. Lineage: Eukaryota; Metazoa; Arthropoda; Malacostraca; Decapoda; Penaeidae. The record is from the annotation of a RefSeq genome assembly.
GUUGCGGUGUCCGAGUAGUUAAGGAGUUUGACUCGAAAUCCAAUGGGCCUUUCCGCACAGGUUCGAAUCCUGUCCGUAGCG